AUUGAACGCUGGCGGCAUGCCUUACACAUGCAAGUCGAACGGCAGCACGGGAGCAAUCCUGGUGGCGAGUGGCGAACGGGUGAGUAAUAUAUCGGAACGUGCCCAGUCGUGGGGAUAACGUAGCGAAAGCUACGCUAAUACCGCAUACGAUCUAUGGAUGAAAGCGGGGGAUCGCAAGACCUCGCGCGAUUGGAGCGGCCGAUAUCAGAUUAGGUAGUUGGUGAGGUAAAGGCUCACCAAGCCGACGAUCUGUAGCUGGUCUGAGAGGACGACCAGCCACACUGGGACUGAGACACGGCCCAGACUCCUACGGGGGGCAGCAGUGGGAAUUUGGACAAUGGGCGCAAGCCUGAUCCAGCAAUGCCGCGUGCAGGAU
Molecule: ribosomal RNA, 376 nt
Filed under: uncultured bacterium
Lineage: Bacteria
Description: bacterial SSU rRNA
Rfam family: Bacterial small subunit ribosomal RNA
Source: RNAcentral